This 252-nucleotide ribosomal RNA is filed under the name uncultured bacterium. Its description in RNAcentral is "partial 16S ribosomal RNA". It matches the Rfam family "Bacterial small subunit ribosomal RNA", at positions 524 to 776 of the family's 1533-position model. The record is from RNAcentral.
UACGGAGGAUGCGAGCGUUAUCCGGAUUUAUUGGGUUUAAAGGGUGCGUAGGCGGGAUGCCAAGUCAGCGGUAAAAAUGCGGGGCUCAACCCCGUCCGGCCGUUGAAACUGGGGGCCUUGAGUGGGCGAGAGGAAGGCGGAAUGCGUGGUGUAGCGGUGAAAUGCAUAGAUAUCACGCAGAACCCCGAUUGCGAAGGCAGCCUUCCGGCGCCCUACUGACGCUGAGGCACGAAAGUGCGGGGAUCGAACAGG